This 508-nucleotide ribosomal RNA is filed under the name uncultured bacterium. RNAcentral describes it as "bacterial SSU rRNA". It matches the Rfam family "Bacterial small subunit ribosomal RNA", at positions 17 to 518 of the family's 1533-position model. The record is from RNAcentral.
UUAUGGCUCAGGAUGAACGCUAGCUACAGGCUUAACACAUGCAAGUCGAGGGGCAGCAUGAAGUUGCUGCAAACUUGAUGGCGACCGGCGCACGGGUGAGUAACGCGUAUCCAACCUUCCCUAUACUAGAGGAUAGCCCGGCGAAAGUCGGAUUAAUACUCUAUGUUCUUCGUAGAAGACAUCUGAAAUGAAGCAAAGGUUUACCGGUAUAGGAUGGGGAUGCGUCUGAUUAGGUUGUUGGCGGGGUAGCGGCCCACCAAGCCCACGAUCAGUAGGGGUUCUGAGAGGAAGGUCCCCCACAUUGGAACUGAGACACGGUCCAAACUCCUACGGGAGGCAGCAGUGAGGAAUAUUGGUCAAUGGACGAGAGUCUGAACCAGCCAAGUAGCGUGCAGGAUGACGGCCCUAUGGGUUGUAAACUGCUUUUAUACAGGGAUAAAGUGACGUACGUGUACGUUUUGUAGGUACUGUAUGAAUAAGGACCGGCUAAUUCCGUGCCAGCAGCCGC